This 77-nucleotide transfer RNA is filed under the name Nitrospiraceae bacterium. Its description in RNAcentral is "tRNA-Met". It matches the Rfam family "tRNA". Rfam says of the family: Transfer RNA (tRNA) molecules are approximately 80 nucleotides in length. Their secondary structure includes four short double-helical elements and three loops (D, anti-codon, and T loops). Further hydrogen bonds mediate the characteristic L-shaped molecular structure. tRNAs have two regions of fundamental functional importance: the anti-codon, which is responsible for specific mRNA codon recognition, and the 3' end, to which the tRNAs corresponding amino acid is attached (by aminoacyl-tRNA synthetases). tRNAs cope with the degeneracy of the genetic code in two manners: having more than one tRNA (with a specific anti-codon) for a particular amino acid; and 'wobble' base-pairing, i.e. permitting non-standard base-pairing at the 3rd anti-codon position. The record is from RNAcentral. Lineage: Bacteria; Pseudomonadati; Nitrospirota; Nitrospiria; Nitrospirales; Nitrospiraceae.
AGCGGGGUGGAGCAGCCUGGUAGCUCGUCGGGCUCAUAACCCGGAGGNNAGUGGUUCGAAUCCACUCCCCGCCACCA